AUUCCAGCUCCAAUAGCGUAUAUUAAAGUUGUUGCAGUUAAAAAGCUCGUAGUUGGAUUUCUGGGAGGGUGCCAAUGUCCGUCGUCGUACGUGUUGCAGCGGCGCCCUUCCAUCCUUCUGUUAACGACUUUGGGCAUUCACUUGCCGGAGUCGGGCUCAGAUAUUUUACCUUGAGAAAAUUAGAGUGUUUCAGGCAGGCUAGGCCGGAAUACAUUAGCAUGGAAUAAUGGAAUAGGACUACGGUCUCUUUGUUGGUUUGAGGGACUGCAGUAAUGAUUAAUAGGGAUAGUUGGGGGCAUUAGUAUUUAAUUGUCAGAGGUGGAAUUCUCGGAUUUGUUAAAGACUAACUUAUGCGAAAGCAUUUGCCAAGGAUGUUUUCAUUG
This 383-nucleotide ribosomal RNA is filed under the name Strombidiidae sp. Its description in RNAcentral is "partial small subunit ribosomal RNA". It matches the Rfam family "Eukaryotic small subunit ribosomal RNA", at positions 582 to 975 of the family's 1831-position model. The record is from RNAcentral. Lineage: Eukaryota; Ciliophora; Spirotrichea; Strombidiidae.